GACGAACGCUGGCGGCGUGCUUAACACAUGCAAGUCGAACGAUGAUCUCCCGCUUGCGGGGGUGAUUAGUGGAGAACGGGUGAGAAAUACGUGAGUAACCUGCCCUUGACUCUGGGAUAGGCCUGGGAAACCGGGUCUAAUACUGGAUACUAUUUUCUGCCGCAUGGUGGGGGGUGGAAAGGGUUUUACUGGUUUUGGAUGGGCUCACGUCCUAUCCGCUUGUUGGUGGAGUAAUGGCUCACCAAGUUGACGACGGGUAGCCGGCCUGAGAGGGUGACCGGCCACACUGGGACUGAGACACGGCCCAGACUCCUACGGGAGGCAGCAGUGGGGAAGAUUGCACAAUGGGCGGAAGCCUGAUGCAGCGACGCCGCGUGAGGGAGGACGGCCUUCGGGUUGUAAACCUCUUUCAGCAGGGAAGAAGCCACAAGUGACGGUACCUGCAGAAGAAGCGCCGGCUAACUACGUG
RNAcentral lists this ribosomal RNA (469 nucleotides) under uncultured bacterium. RNAcentral describes it as "partial 16S ribosomal RNA". It matches the Rfam family "Bacterial small subunit ribosomal RNA", at positions 28 to 507 of the family's 1533-position model. The record is from RNAcentral.